This is a long non-coding RNA of Sceloporus undulatus (fence lizard), 1028 nucleotides long. RefSeq lists it as uncharacterized. The record is from RefSeq and is a predicted model, not a curated record. NCBI's taxonomy places the organism in Eukaryota, Metazoa, Chordata, Lepidosauria, Squamata, Phrynosomatidae. The transcript is spliced from 2 exons.
CCACUCCAGGUUUUGGUCUGCAAUUUAAAGUUGUUAUCCAAGGGGCUGAAUGCAGUUCAGGGCCUUGAACAGAUUUCUGUAACGUUUGGACUAAAAGUCCUAAAGCAGUGAUGCCCAAACCCUGGCCCUCCAGGUGUUUUGGACUUCAUCUCCCAGAAUCCCAAACCAUUGGCCAAGGUAGCUGAGGCUUCUGGGAGCUGAAGUCCAAAACAACUGGAGGGCCAGGGUUUGGACAUUGCUGCCCUAAAGGAUUCAUACUGUAGUCCCACUGACAAGGAGCCCAACAAUAACAACAGCAAAGAACCCAGUUUGCUAAUCAAAAUACCAAAUGCUUUGCUGAAAUACAGAUAAAUGACAUUCGCAGCGUUCCUACAUCUAGUGACCCAAUAAUAAUAAUAAUAAUAAUAAUAAUAAUAAUAAUAAUAAUAGCUAUAAGGUGAGUUUGACCAGAUUUGCUGGCUCCUCCUAACUGUCAUCUUGAUUCCCCCAAAGAGACUCCUGUAUACUUUGUCUUGAUGUUUUUCCUGGAAUUGAUGUUCUCUAGAUCUUCUUAUUUUGGAAGAAAAGGACCAUGUUUGCCCUUCUCCAGUCCUCUGAUGCCUUCCUUGUCUGCCAAGAUUUCUUUCUCAGGGAUGAUGGCAAGUGGUUCAGGGUACGUCAGCGAGUCCUUUCCAUGCGCUGGGAUGUCAUUCGUCUCCUCCUGGAAAUGUGAACUCAUUUAGGUUAAUUAAGCGAUUCCUGACUAUCUCUUAUCAAUCUUGAAUUGCCGUCUGGAUUCCUUGCCAAGGUCUCUGCUGCUGCUGAUGAUGCUGAUGAUGCUGAUGAUGAUGAUCCAUAGAAACACAGGGUUCUUUUCAGUUUUCUGUGCAGCCAUCAUGCUCUUUGGACAAGUUUGCCAUUUUUCUUCUUCCAAGGGAUUGUUUGUGUUUCUAGCGGCUCCUUCUUCACGAAAUCCAAGCCAUGCUGGGCUGCUUGCAGACUUGCCAUAGGAUUAAGCCCUGAGCUUGAUUAAAUCAGCUUUCCCAUAA